UGGGGGAUAUUGGACAAUGGGGGAACCCUGAUCCAGCGACGCCGCGUGAGUGAAGAAGUAUCUCGGUAUGUAAAGCUCUAUCAGCAGGGAAGAAAGAAAUGACGGUACCUGAGUAAGAAGCCCCGGCUAACUACGUGCCAGCAGCCGCGGUAAUACGUAGGGGGCAAGCGUUAUCCGGAAUUACUGGGUGUAAAGGGAGCGUAGACGGUGUGGUAAGUCUGGAGUGAAAGGCGGGGGCCCAACCCCGGCACUGCUCUGGAAACUAUCAGACUGGAGUGCAGGAGAGGCAGGCGGAAUUCCUGGUGUAGCGGUGAAAUGCGUAGAUAUCAGGAGGAACAUCGGUGGCGAAGGCGGCCUGCUGGACUGUAACUGACGUUGAGGCUCGAAAGCGUGGGGAGCAAACAGGAUUAGAUACC
This 416-nucleotide ribosomal RNA is filed under the name uncultured bacterium. RNAcentral's name for it is "bacterial SSU rRNA". It matches the Rfam family "Bacterial small subunit ribosomal RNA", at positions 355 to 786 of the family's 1533-position model. The record is from RNAcentral.